Molecule: ribosomal RNA, 256 nt
Filed under: uncultured bacterium
Lineage: Bacteria
Description: partial 16S ribosomal RNA
Rfam family: Bacterial small subunit ribosomal RNA
Source: RNAcentral
UACGUAGGUGGCAAGCGUUGUCCGGAUUUAUUGGGUUUAAAGGGUGCGUAGGCGGUUUUGUAAGUCAGUGGUGAAAUACUCCAGCUUAACUGGAGGGGUGCCAAUGAUACUGCAGAACUUGAGUACAGAUGAGGUAGGCGGAAUUGACGGUGUAGCGGUGAAAUGCAUAGAUAUCGUCAAGAACACCGAUAGCGAAGGCAGCUUACUGGGCUGUAACUGACGCUGAGGCACGAAAAGUGUGGGGGAUACAAACAGG